This 20-nucleotide ribosomal RNA is filed under the name Candidatus Liberibacter asiaticus. RNAcentral describes it as "partial 16S ribosomal RNA". The record is from RNAcentral. Lineage: Bacteria; Pseudomonadati; Pseudomonadota; Alphaproteobacteria; Hyphomicrobiales; Rhizobiaceae.
CUCCUUUCUAAGGAAGAUGU